CCACUGUCUCCGUCUGCUUCUCCACUGUCUCCAUCUGCUUGUCCUCGUCCUCCUUCUCUUCAAGCCUCUGGUCAUAUUCCACAUUUUCAGCUUCCUUCUGCUCUUCAUUGACCAAUUUGCUUCCAGCAACCUUCCCUUGGUUUGUUUGGGGACAGGGAACAAGGUUGCUUUGAGGAAAUGGGUGACAGGGUUUCAUUCUUUUCUGCGAGUUCCUCUGAGUGCUGAACCUGAAACACAACCAGGGUUUUCCAGCUGCAUAGCAGACCUGGGCGUGAAGACAAGAGAGAGCCUGCCUGCAACUUCUAACUACCAUGACUGGAAGGCAUUUAGCCCUACCCUCAUGAAACUAAAUUUAAAGGAGAUAGAUUUGUUCUACAUGUCUAUACAUUUGCUGUUUGAUAAAACAAAUCUGCAAAAGACAAGUUUGUGAAAAAUUGCCCUUUUCCUAGAGUGAUAGGUCACUUCUAAUGGGAUACUUUUACAAACCGCAGCUUUAUCUACUGCUCUGAAGAGGAGCAUUUUCACUGGAUACAUGUUGGUUAAGGCAGGAGAAGACUUGAAGAUUGUUUUCUUGUGACCUUCCCCAUCAAAACUUUCUGUUUAUUGAUACUACAGCAGUACCCUUCACUUGUUUAAAACUGGUUUUACUAUUGACUAUAGUCCUUAAGGUCUCUGAAUAGGGUGUGUAACAUUGGUUGGGCUGAAAAUGGCAUAUUUUCUGUUCUUUGAGCCCUAAUGCAGGCCUGGUUAAAAGGCCAGGAAUGAAACAACAGCUUUUCUUCCUUUUAUGGUAUGUUCAUGAAUAUUUAGAUGAGCUGUGCACUGAUUGGUUGGUUUACAAAGAGGGGAGCUGCUGAGCAAAGAUACAUUAUAGCAACAAGCACUCACUCACUGAAACAUCGAGGUUGUUGGUAUGGUAGGAUUACCUCUUUUUCCUGGACAUGUCUGAGUUUUCAUACCUAAAAAAAAUGUCCGCAGGGGAUUUCAAAAUCGUCCGGGAUU
Molecule: long non-coding RNA, 1002 nt
Organism: Cyprinodon variegatus (sheepshead minnow)
Lineage: Eukaryota; Metazoa; Chordata; Actinopteri; Cyprinodontiformes; Cyprinodontidae
Exons: 3
Source: RefSeq, a predicted model, not a curated record